GUGGGUUGAGUAGAAGUUAAAGUUUUAAUCAUGUCUAGGUUUGUGAACUUUUGGGUUGCCCAUAUUUAGGGGAGGUUCUGCCGAAUUUUAGGUAGAAUUUCGCUUAACGUGGGCCCCGCAAGCUCGUAUCCAGGACUUCUGGGUGUUCUUGGGUCGGGUCCUGUCAGAACAGUCCACUUUCAAUGCUUUGGCUGGCACCGCAACUGAGGCAUGAUGCAAAAGCUAGCUAUCUGGGCUACAAUGGAGUCUGGUGAAUCCUAGGUUGGUAGAUGCAAUGAAGCUAUCAUUCAAAUUACCUCUCGAUCAAGAGAACUUGGUAUCAUAGUGGAGUGCCACUGACCUCUACAAAACCGCUAAAAAAAGAACUUUCAGCGCGGUAGAUGCGCCUCCAGUGAUGAGUUCAAAGUGCAAGAGCGAGUAGCCAAUAUUCCAAGAUUUGGGGAAGUGAUCAGGAGCAUGCCAAAAAUAUGAGGAGUUAAUUGCAACACUUUCAAGAAAAACCAACAAUCAAUAAUCUGGUUACUAGUAUGUUGGAUUUAGUACACAAGGAUCUCUAGACUAUUUU
Long non-coding RNA from Rosa chinensis, 565 nucleotides. RefSeq lists it as uncharacterized. The transcript is spliced from 3 exons. Lineage: Eukaryota; Viridiplantae; Streptophyta; Magnoliopsida; Rosales; Rosaceae. The record is from RefSeq and is a predicted model, not a curated record.